GGAGAGGUGGCAGAGUGGCCGAAUGCGCUGGUUUCGAAAACCAGUAGGCCUUUGCGGGUCUCGUGGGUUCAAAUCCCACCCUCUCCGCCA
Molecule: transfer RNA, 90 nt
Filed under: Planctomycetota bacterium
Lineage: Bacteria; Pseudomonadati; Planctomycetota
Description: tRNA-Ser
Rfam family: tRNA
About the family: Transfer RNA (tRNA) molecules are approximately 80 nucleotides in length. Their secondary structure includes four short double-helical elements and three loops (D, anti-codon, and T loops).
Source: RNAcentral